This 449-nucleotide ribosomal RNA is filed under the name uncultured bacterium. RNAcentral's name for it is "partial 16S ribosomal RNA". It matches the Rfam family "Bacterial small subunit ribosomal RNA", at positions 330 to 794 of the family's 1533-position model. The record is from RNAcentral.
GCCAGACUCCUACGGGAGGCAGCAGUGGGGAAUAUUGCACAAUGGGCGAAAGCCUGAUGCAGCAACGCCGCGUGAAGGAAGAAGGGUUUCGGCUCGUAAACUUCUAUUAACAGGGACGAAAGAAAUGACGGUACCUGAAUAAGAAGCCCCGGCUAACUACGUGCCAGCAGCCGCGGUAAUACGGAGGAUGCGAGCGUUAUCCGGAUUUAUUGGGUUUAAAGGGUGCGCAGGCGGAGGCACAAGUCAGGGGUAAAUUCGGGGGGCCCACCCCCGCUCCGCCGUUGAAACUGUGUCCCUUGAGUGCGCGAAGGGUAGGCGGAAUGCGUGGUGUAGCGGUGAAAUGCAUAGAUAUCACGCAGAACUCCGAUCGCGAAGGCAGCCUACCGGCGCGCAACUGACGCUCAUGCACGAAAGCGUGGGUAUCGAACAGGAUUAGAUACCCCAGUACA